Molecule: ribosomal RNA, 468 nt
Filed under: uncultured bacterium
Lineage: Bacteria
Description: partial 16S ribosomal RNA
Rfam family: Bacterial small subunit ribosomal RNA
Source: RNAcentral
GACGAACGCUGGCGGCGUGCUUAACACAUGCAAGUCGAACGGAAAGGCCUUGCUUUUGUGGGGUGCUCGAGGCGCGAACGGGUGAGUAACCCGUGAGUCACCUGCCCAUUACUUUGGGAUAACUUCAGGACACUGGGGAUAACACAUACUAGGUGCUCCCGCUGGUUGGGGGGGGUUGGACAUUUUACGCGGUGGGGGGGAGACUCCCGGUUUAUCAGUUGGUUGGUGGGGUGGUGGCUUACCACGGCUUUGACGGGUAGCCGACUUGCGAGGGGGACCAGCGACAUUGGUACUAAGGUACGGCCCAGACGCCUACGUGAGACAGCAGUGGGGAAUAUUGCACAGUGGGCGGGAGCGUGAGGAAGCAACUCCGCGGGCGGGAUGACGGCCUUCUGGGUGUGAACCGCUUUCGCCUGUUACGAAGCGGGAGUGACGGUAAUGGGAGAAUAAGCACCGGCUAACUACGUG